This 84-nucleotide transfer RNA is filed under the name Candidatus Izemoplasmatales bacterium. RNAcentral's name for it is "tRNA-Leu". It matches the Rfam family "tRNA". Rfam says of the family: Transfer RNA (tRNA) molecules are approximately 80 nucleotides in length. Lineage: Bacteria; Bacillati; Mycoplasmatota; Mollicutes; Candidatus Izemoplasmatales. The record is from RNAcentral.
GCGGUUGUGGCGGAACGGCAGACGCGCUACCCUCAGGAGGUAGUGUUUAACGACAUGUGGGUUCAAAUCCCAUCAACCGCACCA